AUACGCAGCUGCAGUGUUUGUACUUUUAUACAGUGAAACUCAUUACCACCUUGCUUACUUCCUAGUAGAGAGAUGUGUCUUGUAGUUACACUGAAACACCUGGCUGGGCACAUAGGUGAAGCUGUUGAGUCUGUAAUUGUCAAACUGCUCCCAGGUGCCAAUUAUAAUGUAGAAGAGGCACAAGAAGAUGAAGUGGAUAAGCCUGGCAGUUUGUCAAGCAUUCAUCAGUUGUCAAGCAUUUGUCAGUUGCAGAAUGUAGGUAGGCUGCCAAGGCUUUAUUGUAGCCUGGUUCUAUUGCAGCUUUAUUCUAGCAAGGCUGCUGGAAAAUACAAUAAUCACUGGUCCAAGAAAGAACUCUUAUACUCUAUCUAUAUGAAGAAACAGUAAAAGUCAAUUCAGUAGAAAUCAUGAUUUUUGUGCCUGGUGCUUUCACUUUUUUAUGCCACAAUACCAAGAGGUUAAAAUGAAGUGUCUUUGAUUGGGAAUACCAUCUAUCUGGGAAAAGACAGGGCUGCAACUUCUGAAGACCUUG
This 532-nucleotide long non-coding RNA is filed under the name Homo sapiens (human). RNAcentral's name for it is "non-protein coding lnc-SMIM9-3:2". The record is from RNAcentral. Lineage: Eukaryota; Metazoa; Chordata; Mammalia; Primates; Hominidae.